Molecule: ribosomal RNA, 216 nt
Filed under: Glomeromycotina sp.
Lineage: Eukaryota; Fungi; Glomeromycota
Description: partial small subunit ribosomal RNA
Rfam family: Eukaryotic small subunit ribosomal RNA (bases 40-216)
Source: RNAcentral
GGGUCAGUAGGUUGGUCGUGCCACCGGUACGUACUGGUCUCACUGAUUCCUCCUUCCUGAAGAACCGUAGUGCCAUUAAUUUGGUGUUGCGGGGAAACAGGACUGUUACUUUGAAAAAAUUAGAGUGCUUAAAGCAAGCUAACGCUUGAAUACAUUAGCAUGGAAUAAUGAAAUAGGACGAUCGAUCCUAUUUUGUUGGUUUCUAGGAUUGACGUA